AAUGGGCGCAAGCCUGAUCCAGCCAUACCGCGUGUGUGAAGAAGGCCCUAGGGUUGUAAAGCACUUUAAGUUGGGAAGAAAAGUUAUUGGUUAAUACCCAAUAACCGUGACAUUACCUUCAGAAUAAGGACCGGCUAAUUCCGUGCCAGCAGCCGCGGUAAUACGGAAGGUCCAAGCGUUAAUCGGAAUUACUGGGCGUAAAGCGCGCGUAGGUGGUUUAUUAAGUUGGAUGUGAAAUCCCUGGGCUCAACCUGGGAACUGCAUCCAAAACUGAUUCACUAGAGUACGAUAGAGGGAGGUAGAAUUCACAGUGUAGCGGUGGAAUGCGUAGAUAUUGUGAAGAAUACCAAUGGCGAAGGCAGCCUCCUGGAUCUGUACUGACACUAAGGUGCGAAAGCGUGGGUAGCGAACAGGAUU
RNAcentral lists this ribosomal RNA (417 nucleotides) under uncultured Gammaproteobacteria bacterium. Its description in RNAcentral is "bacterial SSU rRNA". It matches the Rfam family "Bacterial small subunit ribosomal RNA", at positions 370 to 779 of the family's 1533-position model. The record is from RNAcentral. Lineage: Bacteria; Pseudomonadati; Pseudomonadota; Gammaproteobacteria.